AGAGUUUGAUCAUGGCUCAGAUUGAACGCUGGCGGUAGGCUUAACACAUGCAAGUCGAGCGGAAACGAUGUAGCUUGCUACAGGCGUCGAGCGGCGGACGGGUGAGUAACGCGUAGGAACCUACCUAGUAGUUUGGGAUAGCCCAGAGAAAUUUGGAUUAAUACCGAAUACGCCCCACGGGGGAAAGCGGAGGAUCUUCGGACUUCGCGCUAUUAGAUGGGCCUGCGUAAGAUUAGCUUGUUGGUGAGGUAAUGGCUCACCAAGGCAACGAUCUUUAGCUGGUUUGAGAGGAUGAUCAGCCACACUGGGACUGAGACACGGCCCAGACUCCUACGGGAGGCAGCAGUGGGGAAUAUUGCACAAUGGGCGAAAGCCUGAUGCAGCCAUACCGCGUGUGUGAAGAAGGCUCUAGGGUUGUAAAGCACUUUCAGUAGGGAGGAAAGGUUGUAGCUUAAUACGCUAUAGCUGUGACGUUACCUACAGAAGAAGGACCGGCUAACUCCGUGCCAGCAGCCGCGGUAAUACGGAGGGUCCGAGCGUUAAUCGGAAUUACUGGGCGUAAAGCGUACGUAGGUGGUUUGUUAAGUUGGAUGUGAAAGCCCAGGGCUCAACCUUGGAACUGCAUUCAAAACUGAUGAACUAGAAUAUGGUAGAGGUAAGUGGAAUUUCCUGUGUAGCGGUGAAAUGCGUAGAGAUGGGAAGGAACAUCAGUGGCGAAGGCGACUUACUGGACCAAUAUUGACACUGAGGUACGAAAGCGUGGGUAGCAAACAGGAUUAGAUACCCUGGUAGUCCACGCCGUAAACGAUGUCUACUAGCCGUUGGGAUCCUUGAGAUCUUAGUGGCGCAGCUAACGCACUAAGUAGACCGCCUGGGGAGUACGGUCGCAAGAUUAAAACUCAAAUGAAUUGACGGGGGCCCGCACAAGCGGUGGAGCAUGUGGUUUA
RNAcentral lists this ribosomal RNA (947 nucleotides) under uncultured Bermanella sp. RNAcentral describes it as "bacterial SSU rRNA". It matches the Rfam family "Bacterial small subunit ribosomal RNA", at positions 8 to 948 of the family's 1533-position model. Lineage: Bacteria; Pseudomonadati; Pseudomonadota; Gammaproteobacteria; Oceanospirillales; Oceanospirillaceae. The record is from RNAcentral.